This 688-nucleotide long non-coding RNA is filed under the name Homo sapiens (human). RNAcentral's name for it is "non-protein coding lnc-LRRC37A3-5:14". The record is from RNAcentral. Lineage: Eukaryota; Metazoa; Chordata; Mammalia; Primates; Hominidae.
GAGCACCGAAAAGAAAGUGGUCAUGAAAGGAAGUAUCAACAAUUAUCUUAAAUUGGGUCAAGAAGGGAAGUAUCGCGUCUACCACAAUCAAUACUCCACUAAUUCAUUUGCUUUGAAUAAGCACCAGCACAGAGAAGACCAUGAUAAGAGAAGGCAUCUUGCACAUAAGUUCUGUCUGACUCCAGCAGGAGAGUUCAAAUGGAACGGUUCUGUCCAUGGGUCCAAAGUUCUUACCAUAUCUACUCUGAGACUGACUAUCACCCAAUUAGAAAACAACAUCCCUUCAUCCUUUCUUCAUCCCAACCGGGCAUCACAUAGGGCAAACUGGAUCAAGGCAGUUCAGAUGUGUAGCAAACUCAGAGAAUUUGCAUUGGCUUUAGCCAUUUUGGAGUGUGCAGUUAAACCAGUUGUGAUGCUACCAAUAUGGCGAGAAUCUUUAGGACAUACCAGCUUUCUCCCUUUGUCUCAUAACCAUGUCCACCAAUGAGAAUGCUAAUACACAAGCUGCCCAUCUUCACAGAUCUAAGAACAAGGGAAAGGACAGUACAGAAACGAGGCGUCACAGAAUAGAGGUCAAUGUGGAGCUGAGGAAAGCUAAGAAGGAUGACCAGAUGCUGAAGAGGAGAAAUGUAAGCUCAUUUCCUGAUGAUGCUACUUCUCCGCUGCAGGAAAACUGCAACAACCAGGU